GGUUGAAGGUCUUGCCAUGAUGAGCAGACUAGGUCGAAACAGACUUCACCAAUCAGAAGGCUUUGAAGAUAGAUCAAUUGACUGGGACCAUGUUGAAAUGUAGGAAGCAGUAUUUCAUAAGAUUUCAAUAACAGGGUUUAUAACUUUGCUUCAAAUUGUAUCCACAUGAGGAAGUAACUUACCAGGCACCUGAUAUUUUUGUACGUAAGUCUCUGGAAUUCUGUCCAUAUGCUUCAGAUUGUCAUUUCAGGACAAUCCUUUUUGUCCAUUUUUACAUUUGACUCAGAAUCAGGGGUGGUACCCUUAA
Molecule: unclassified non-coding RNA, 307 nt
Filed under: Hevea brasiliensis (rubber tree)
Lineage: Eukaryota; Viridiplantae; Streptophyta; Magnoliopsida; Malpighiales; Euphorbiaceae
Source: RNAcentral